Long non-coding RNA from Dreissena polymorpha, 605 nucleotides. RefSeq lists it as uncharacterized. The record is from RefSeq and is a predicted model, not a curated record. NCBI's taxonomy places the organism in Eukaryota, Metazoa, Mollusca, Bivalvia, Myida, Dreissenidae. The transcript is spliced from 4 exons.
UGAUGUUAAAAAUACACGAUGGAUACUUAAAUAUUGAUGUUUACCUUUUUUAUUUUGAUAUUUUAUGGUGUAGAUUAACCUAAGUUAAUAUAACAAUCAAAACAGUAGGGCAUGGAAUGGCAGAUCAACAUUGUUAAUUUUCGGAUAAACUUUCUGGAUUUUGCCAAGUGAAGAACUCCAAUGAUAUACAUGUAGGGGCAUGUGUCCAAAGCUGAUCCACAUCAUAACAUACUGAUUGGGAAUAAUGACAUAGUACCAAAAGAUGUGCUUAUACUGUAAUUAGCAGAUCUUCACAAAUGAACCUGGCAGAUCCUGGUGCAACCUUACCUUACCAUGUUUACAUCUAACCGUCAGUUUGAGCUGUGUGAGGGUGGUAACACGGACUAUAUACAUGUAUUGCCCAGUAAUUGUCUUGUGAUGGACCUUUUUAACAUAUCAAGUAUUUAAUUGAAGACUUAAGAGUACGGUAGCCAGGUGCCUGUGUAUUGAGCUGACAAGAUAGGGAUCAUCACAGCAGGUUGCUAAUACACAGUGUAGACUUCCCCUGUUUUAUUAUUGUAUUUGUUAUUUACCUGAUUGGAAUAAAUGAGGUGUAUUCAAUCGGG